RNAcentral lists this ribosomal RNA (434 nucleotides) under Cryptosporidium sp. NJCF-6. RNAcentral's name for it is "SSU rRNA". It matches the Rfam family "Eukaryotic small subunit ribosomal RNA", at positions 624 to 1090 of the family's 1831-position model. Lineage: Eukaryota; Apicomplexa; Conoidasida; Eucoccidiorida; Cryptosporidiidae. The record is from RNAcentral.
AAGCUCGUAGUUGGACUUCUGUUGUAUAAUUUAUAUAAAAUAUUUUGAUGAAUAUUUAUAUAAUAUUAACAUAAUUCAUAUUACUAUUUUUUAGUAUAUGAAAUUUUACUUUGAGAAAAUUAGAGUGCUUAAAGCAGGCAUAUGCCUUGAAUACUCCAGCAUGGAAUAAUAUUAAAGAUUUUUAUCUUUUUUAUUGGUUCUAAGAUAAGAAUAAUGAUUAAUAGGGACAGUUGGGGGCAUUUGUAUUUAACAGUCAGAGGUGAAAUUCUUAGAUUUGUUAAAGACAAACUAAUGCGAAAGCAUUUGCCAAGGAUGUUUUCAUUAAUCAAGAACGAAAGUUAGGGGAUCGAAGACGAUCAGAUACCGUCGUAGUCUUAACCAUAAACUAUGCCAACUAGAGAUUGGAGGUUGUUCCUUACUCCUUCAGCACCUUA